This 465-nucleotide ribosomal RNA is filed under the name uncultured bacterium. RNAcentral describes it as "partial 16S ribosomal RNA". It matches the Rfam family "Bacterial small subunit ribosomal RNA", at positions 338 to 795 of the family's 1533-position model. The record is from RNAcentral.
CCUACGGGUGGCUGCAGUGGGGAAUAUUGCGCAAUGGGCGAAAGCCUGACGCAGCGACGCCGCGUGAGGGAUGAAGGUCUUCGGAUUGUAAACCUCUUUCAGCAGGGAAGAACGGUCACUGUGCUAAUCAGCAGUGAAUUGACGGUACCUGCAAAGGAAGCACCGGCUAACUCCGUGCCAGCAGCCGCGGUAAUACGGAGGGUGCGAGCGUUAAUCGGAAUUACUGGGGGUAAAGCGCUCGUAGGCGGUAUGUUAAGUCAAGGGUGAAAUCCCGGGGCCCAACCUUGGAACUGCCUUUGAAACUGGCAGGCUGGAGUAUGUGAGAGGAAAGUGGAAUUCGGGGUGUAGGGGUGAAAUGCGUAGAUAUCAGGAGGAACACCAGUGGCGAAGGCAGCUUACUGGAACAUAACUGACGCUGAGGAGCGAAAGCGUGGGUAGCAAACAGGAUUAGAUACCCGUGUAGUC